GGCCGGGGUUGAGGGGAAGAGGGCGGGGCUGCUUGGGUAGCGGGGCAGGCUUGGGGGCUGCCGGCUGGCACGGGCCCCAGACUCAGGGCACCACAACGCGGUAGGACACGCUGUAGAGCCGGCUGCCCACGUGCUUCACCAGGAUCUCCUCGCAGGGGGUCCUUGGGCCAUGAACCCCCACCAGCAGCAUGUUGUUGCCUGAGGCAAGAGGGGUCCUCAGUCCCAGGUCCCAGCCCCCUUCCUCCCGCUGGUGUCCUGCUCUCCUCUCCUGUCCCUAAGCCAGUUCUGGGGUGACAGUUCUCUCUUCCUAAAGAGCUGCCAGCACCUCCCCAACCCAGGCCAGCUUAGCAGAUUCCAGCUCCUCCCUGGUCUUUGUUUGAGGGGUCCAGGAGGUGGCAGGGAGGUGGCUCUAGAAGUGAAAGCCACGCCCCAAAGGCGGUCCCUGCUCUCCCAGACACUGGCCAUCCUGUGAUUUCUGGCCUCAUUUUGGUGGGAAGGUGGGCCGGGGGCCCAGGUUGCCC
Molecule: long non-coding RNA, 521 nt
Filed under: Homo sapiens (human)
Lineage: Eukaryota; Metazoa; Chordata; Mammalia; Primates; Hominidae
Description: HSALNT0287673
Source: RNAcentral